GAUGAACGCUGGCGGCGUGCCUAAUACAUGCCAGUCGAGCGAACGGACGAGAAGCUUGCUUUUCUGAUGUUAGCGGCGGACGGGUGAGUAACACGUGGAUAACCUACCUAUAAGACUGGGAUAACUUCGGGAAACCGGAGCUAAUACCGGAUAAUAUUUUGAACCGCAUGGUUCAAAAGUGAAAGACGGUCUUGCUGUCACUUAUAGAUGGAUCCGCGCUGCAUUAGCUAGUUGGUAAGGUAACGGCUUACCAAGGCAACGAUGCAUAGCCGACCUGAGAGGGUGAUCGGCCACACUGGAGCUGAGACACGGUCCAGACGCCUACGGGAGGCAGCAGUAUGGAAUCGGCCGCAAUGGGCGAAAGCAUGACGGAGCAAGGCGGCGUGAGUGAUGAAGGUGUUCGGAGCGUAAAACUCGGUUAUGAGGGAAGAACAUAUGUGUAAGUAACUGUACACAUCUUGACGGUACCUAAUCAGAAAGCCACGGCUAACUACGUG
Molecule: ribosomal RNA, 497 nt
Filed under: uncultured bacterium
Lineage: Bacteria
Description: partial 16S ribosomal RNA
Rfam family: Bacterial small subunit ribosomal RNA
Source: RNAcentral